RNA transcript from Bufo bufo (common toad), 1682 nucleotides. It is a transcript of the gene named coenzyme Q4, with no coding region annotated. NCBI's taxonomy places the organism in Eukaryota, Metazoa, Chordata, Amphibia, Anura, Bufonidae. The record is from RefSeq and is a predicted model, not a curated record. The transcript is spliced from 8 exons.
CACAUAAACAACAUAUUAACCCUUGGCUCUUCGUGACUUAUGACUGAUGUAAUAACCCGGAGCAAUCAGUGGGAGAGGCCUGCUGUAAUGUUGGGCGAACAUGGGUGCAGUUCCUGGAGUGACCGCAAGGUGGCUACCUGAAGUUCUGUUGACCCUCGUCGGUAGCCGUAGCCAGGCUGUGUAAUUGCUGCUGUUGCUGUAUUACAAUUCCCAGUGUGCCCUGGAAGUUGUAGUGAGGGAAUGGGGCUGCUGGUGAGGGGGCUGCUGCUGGCCCCUGCAUGGAGGACCCUGGGGGCUGCUGCUCCUGCCCUCUGCCAAGGUGUCCGGUUCGCCUCGGUCCAGGCCGAUGACAUCCCAGCGGAGGACCAUGAACCCGUUCUACAGAUCAGUGAUCCACAAGGCCUGUACCCGCACCACAUCCCCACCAACACCCUCCAGAAGCUGCUGCUGUCCGCCGGCUCUGCCUUCAUGUCCUUGUAUGACCCCUACAGACACGAUAUGAUCGCGGUUCUCGGGGAAACCACCGGCGCCCUGGCCCUGCAGAAGCUGCGCGAGACAAUGAGCAAAGACCCAGAGGGGGUGCAGAUCCUGCAGGAGCGCCCCCGUAUCCGGAUGUCUAACCUGGAUAUUGAGAGGUUUAGAGAGUUGCCCGAUGGGACGUUCGGCAGAGAAUAUGUCAGGUUCCUGGAUGUCAAUCACGUCACGCCCGACACCCGCAUGCCGGUGAAGUUUGUUGAUGACGAGGAGCUGGCCUAUGUGGCCCAGCGAUACCGAGAAGUCCAUGACCUCAUGCACACCCUGCUGGGGAUGCCGACUAACAUGCUAGGGGAAGUCGUAGUCAAGUGGUUUGAAGCGGUGCAGACCGGACUGCCCAUGUGCAUGCUGGGAGCUGUGUUUGGGCCGCUGCGCCUCAGCGCCAGGAGGAAGAAGAAAUUGAUGGAGCUGGUUCCCUGGGCGGUGCAGACCGGGCGUAACGCCCGCUGCGUUCUUAACUUCUACUAUGAGAAGCGAUGGGAGCAGACGGUGGAGUCCUUGAGGGAAGAGAUUGGGGUCCUGCCCCCUCCCACCAUCAAGGUGUGAACGAUUGCAUUCUUAUAACUGGACGCCCCUAAUCGGGGGGCCCUUGGGCGACUACAGUGCAGCCUGGGAAAUAUAGGACAAGCGCUCCGAGCUGGGACUACAGUAUUUCCUGUACAUCAGCGGCGCCACCUGGUGGCCUGACACAGACACGACACCUUCUGUCUCCUCAGCUGGAGGUGGUAGUUCACCGCUGUGAAAUCCUGCGCUUCUCAGCCAAGUAUCCUGCCCCAUGAUCUGUGCCCAGGUGCCGGCAGCGUCACCUCUGCCAGGCGUAGCGGAUGCCAUCUGUUCUGAUCGGUGGCGUCAGAUAAUAUUUUGUGAGUGCCAGAGAGAUUGUUCACAAAUGGAAUGAAAGGAUAUAUGGAGACAACCAGGAUGUCAUCAGGGUAAGCAAUGGGACCUCCUCCGAUCAUGAGAACGGGGAUCCUGUGGCCCCUGACUGAGUGGAGUUGCAGUUGAGCAUGCGCAGUACCCCUAUAGGACUGGCGGAGAUAGCGAAGUAUGCGCCACCAUUAAAACGGAGCAACGGGAUCCCUGUUCACUUGAUCGGUGGAGGAGCAGGGGGUCAAACCCCCACCGCUCAGAAACCUGUAACUUCAAUA